AGUAAUGCGUGACCAACCUGCCCCAUGCUCCAGAAUAGCUCUUGGAAACGGGUGGUAAUGCUGGAUGCUCCAACUUGACGCAUGUCUUGUUGGGAAAGUGUUUAGUGGCAUGGGAUGGGGUCGCGUCCUAUCAGCUUGUAGGCGGGGUAAUGGCCCACCUAGGCGACGAUGGGUAGCCGGCCUGAGAGGGCGGACGGCCACAUUGGGACUGAGAUACGGCCCAGACUCCUACGGGAGGCAGCAGAU
RNAcentral lists this ribosomal RNA (246 nucleotides) under uncultured Gardnerella sp. Its description in RNAcentral is "partial 16S ribosomal RNA". It matches the Rfam family "Bacterial small subunit ribosomal RNA", at positions 109 to 354 of the family's 1533-position model. The record is from RNAcentral. Lineage: Bacteria; Bacillati; Actinomycetota; Actinomycetes; Bifidobacteriales; Bifidobacteriaceae.